Molecule: ribosomal RNA, 253 nt
Filed under: uncultured bacterium
Lineage: Bacteria
Description: partial 16S ribosomal RNA
Rfam family: Bacterial small subunit ribosomal RNA
Source: RNAcentral
UACGUAGGGUCCGAGCGUUGUCCGGAAUUAUUGGGCGUAAAGAGCUCGUAGGCGGUUUGUCGCGUCUGCUGUGAAAACUCGGGGCUUAACCCCGGGCCUGCAGUGGGUACGGGCAGACUAGAGUGCGGUAGGGGAGACUGGAAUUCCUGGUGUAGCGGUGAAAUGCGCAGAUAUCAGGAGGAACACCGGUGGCGAAGGCGGGUCUCUGGGCCGUAACUGACGCUGAGGAGCGAAAGCGUGGGGAGCGAACAGG